UCCUACGGGACGCAGCAGUGAGGAAUAUUGGUCAAUGGGCGCGAGCCUGAACCAGCCAAGUAGCGUGAAGGAUGACUGCCCUACAGGUUGUAAACUUCUUUUACAAAGGAAUAAAGUGAGGCACGUGUGCCUUUUUGUAUGUACUUUAUGAAUAAGGAUCGGCUAACCCCGUGCCAGCAGCCGCGGUAAUACGGAGGAUCCGAGCGUUAUCCGGAUUUAUUGGGUUUAAAGGGAGCGUAGAUGGGUUGUUAAGUCAGUUGUGAAAGUUUGCGGCUCAACCGUAAAAUUGCAAUUGAUACUGGCAG
RNAcentral lists this ribosomal RNA (305 nucleotides) under uncultured bacterium. RNAcentral's name for it is "bacterial SSU rRNA". It matches the Rfam family "Bacterial small subunit ribosomal RNA", at positions 337 to 639 of the family's 1533-position model. The record is from RNAcentral.